AGUAAUGUCUGGGAAACUGCCUGAUGGAGGGGGAGUAACUACUGGAAACGGUAGCUAAUACCGCAUAACGUCGCAAGACCAAGAGGGGGACCUUCGGGCCUCUUGCCAUCGGAUGUGCCCAGAUGGGAUUAGCUAGUAGGUGGGGUAAAGGGCUCACCUAGGCGACGAUCUCUAGCUGGUCUGAGAGGAUGAUCAGCCACACUGGGACUGAGACACGGCCCAGACUCCUACGGGAGGCAGCAUG
Molecule: ribosomal RNA, 244 nt
Filed under: uncultured bacterium
Lineage: Bacteria
Description: partial 16S ribosomal RNA
Rfam family: Bacterial small subunit ribosomal RNA
Source: RNAcentral